RNAcentral lists this ribosomal RNA (289 nucleotides) under uncultured Pseudomonadota bacterium. RNAcentral's name for it is "uncultured proteobacterium partial 16S ribosomal RNA". The record is from RNAcentral. Lineage: Bacteria; Pseudomonadati; Pseudomonadota.
CUACUGGGGUAUCUAAUCCUGUUUGCUCCCCACGCUUUCGUGCCUGAGCGUCAGUAAUGGUCCAGUUGGGCGCCUUCGCCACCGGUAUUCCUCCUAAUAUCUACGAAUUUCACCUCUACACUAGGAAUUCUCCCAACCUCUACCAUACUCUAGUAAUGUAGUUUCAAAAGCAGUUCCAGGGUUGAGCCCUGGGCUUUCACUUCUGACUUACAUAACCGCCUACGCACGCUUUACGCCCAGUGAUUCCGAACAACGCUCGCUCCCCCCGUAUUACCGCGGCUGCUGGCAC